GAGUUUGAUCAUGGCUCAGGACGAACGCUGACGGUGUGCUUUAGACAUGCAAGUCGAACGAGAAAGCCCUUCGGGGUGAGUACAGUGGCGGACGGGUGAGUAACACGUGGGUAACCUGCCCCUCGCAGGGGGAUAACCGGGGGAAACCCCGGCUAAUACCCCGUAAGCUUACAAAGCGCAUCGCUUUGUAAGGAAAGGUAGCUUCGGCCAUCCGGCGAGGGAUGGGCCCGCGGUGCAUUAGCUAGUUGGUGGGGUAACGGCCCACCAAGGCUACGAUGCAUAGCUGGUCUGAGAGGAUGAUCAGCCACACUGGGACUGAGACACGGCCCAGACUCCUACGGGAGGCAGCAGUCGGGAAUCUUGCGCAAUGGGCGAAAGCCUGACGCAGCAACGCCGUGUGGGUGACGAAGGCCUUCGGGUCGUAAAGCCCUGUUGUUGGGGACGAAGGGUUAGGGGUUAAUAGCCCCGAGCCUGACGGUACCCUUCGAGGAAGCCCCGGCUAACUACGUGCCAGCAGCCGCGGUAAUACGUAGGGGGCGAGCGUUGUCCGGAAUCAUUGGGCGUAAAGGGCGUGUAGGCGGUUCGGUAAGUCCGCCGUGAAAACCUGGGGCUCAACCCCGGGCGUGCGGUGGAUACUGCCGGACUAGAGGGUGGUAGAGGCGAGUGGAAUUCCCGGUGUAGCGGUGAAAUGCGCAGAUAUCGGGAGGAACACCAGUAGCGAAGGCGGCUCGCUGGGCCAUUCCUGACGCUGAGACGCGAAAGCG
This 764-nucleotide ribosomal RNA is filed under the name uncultured bacterium. Its description in RNAcentral is "bacterial SSU rRNA". It matches the Rfam family "Bacterial small subunit ribosomal RNA", at positions 9 to 761 of the family's 1533-position model. The record is from RNAcentral.